This is a long non-coding RNA of Morone saxatilis (striped sea-bass), 877 nucleotides long. RefSeq lists it as uncharacterized. The transcript has 2 exons. NCBI's taxonomy places the organism in Eukaryota, Metazoa, Chordata, Actinopteri, Moronidae. The record is from RefSeq and is a predicted model, not a curated record.
UGAACAUCCUAUGUGGUGUUCACAUUUAAACACAGGAUCCAGAAAUUAAAAAAAAAAAGUUUAUAUCAGUUAUGGUAGGUUAUGGUUUGCACAGGUGUGUGGUGAAUGUGGAUGAAUUCUUCUAUACAAAAAAAUAUAUUAAAGAAAUGUUACAAAUCUGAAUCAAUACAAACAAACAAAACUACUAAUAAGAAAUGAAUUUGAUCAUUUAACUUACAUCAUUAACGCAUCCACAAUCUAGCCUUAUUUUUAAAAAAAAUCGUAGAAUAUAGCAUGAACACAAACUAUUAACUUAAAACAGAAUGUAACACAUUAAUCAUGGUUUAAAAGUGAAAAAGUCAACGUUAACUAUCACAGCAGGUUGUCUUUGUUCUUCUUGGUAUGGUUUGGAGGGUAAAAAAAGGAAAUUAGAUGAAAAGGAGUGGAGCUAUAUAAUUUGGGGGGAGUGGUUUAGAGAGGAGUGGAGUUUUUUUUUUUUUAAUUGACUGCUCUCAGCAGUUUUAAAGAGAUCAGCCACACGAUCUGCCAGUGUAUUCAAACUAUGAGUAGGAUGAACAGAUCUUUAACUCAAUAAAAUAAAGUUAAGCCAUAUGCAGCUUUGAUUUCACAACACAUCUUAAAGUACAAAAGACAGGGGAUGGGGCAGGGUUGUUGUAACUGUUUAAAACAUGUUUGAUUACCUUGCAGUUGCUGGUUAUGGAUGAUUUUGUACGUAAUAAAUUAACUGAAUGGGGUCUCGCCGAGCUGAUUGAAAGAUUUAAAGAUGAAGGCAUUGACGAGGAAAUUCUUUACCUUCUUGAUGAUCCAGAAAUUGAUAGCUUGAUCCCCAGAGUGGGACACAGGGCAAAAUUUAAGAAUAAACUCAAGUUGUUAAAGG